Molecule: long non-coding RNA, 572 nt
Organism: Thalassophryne amazonica
Lineage: Eukaryota; Metazoa; Chordata; Actinopteri; Batrachoidiformes; Batrachoididae
Exons: 2
Source: RefSeq, a predicted model, not a curated record
CUCUGGUUCGUGGCCAACAGACCCAGGCUUUGAAAAUUAAAGAAACUGACUCACUUCAAGCUACAUGGAACUACAACUACACCUGCUCCUAAUUUCCAUCAUCCAUUUGAAGACAUGAUUACUCCCUUCAAUCAUCCCUCGACAUGUGCAAUAUUCAAUAGAUGGGUGUACGGACAAUAAGAAGCAAAACAAACUUGCUUUUAUGUUGAUCUGAUCGAUCAAAGUUAAUCAGUGUUUUAUUGAUUUAUCCUUAUUUAGGCACUUUUAAUUUGGACUCAAAUUACUGUACUGGAAGUGGCAUUUUCUUUCAUUUCUGGCAUGCGGUUAAGGGAAAAACUGAUUACCUGAUGAAUAAUCGAUUGCAGCCUCUGCAGUAGUUGCCACUUUUAAUCAAGCUGAUGCCGGUUAUCUCUAGUUCUUGCCUUGAAUUCCUCGCUGUCUUUAAAUCUUGGCCUGACUCACCCUAAAUCGAGCCCCGUCUCUGAAUUCCAGUAAUUUGAACUCAACUGAAGCAUAAACUGGGCAGGAGACUCUCUUUUUUUGAAAAGAAGCCUGAAACCCAACUCAAGAAA